Molecule: ribosomal RNA, 253 nt
Filed under: uncultured bacterium
Lineage: Bacteria
Description: partial 16S ribosomal RNA
Rfam family: Bacterial small subunit ribosomal RNA
Source: RNAcentral
UACAGAGGUCCCAAGCGUUGUUCGGAUUCAUUGGGCGUAAAGGGUGUGUAGGUGGCGCCGUAAGUCGGGUGUGAAAUCUCGGGGCUUAACUCCGAAACUGCAUUCAAUACUGCGGUGCUUGAGGACUGGAGAGGAGACUGGAAUUCAUGGUGUAGCAGUGAAAUGCGUAGAGAUCAUGAGGAAGACCAGUGGCGAAGGCGGGUCUCUGGACAGUUCCUGACACUGAGACACGAAGGCCAGGGGAGCAAACGGG